Molecule: long non-coding RNA, 681 nt
Filed under: Brachypodium distachyon (stiff brome)
Lineage: Eukaryota; Viridiplantae; Streptophyta; Magnoliopsida; Poales; Poaceae
Description: long non-coding RNA (BDIS_LNC003660)
Source: RNAcentral
ACUCUAGGAAAGAAAAGGAUUUUUCAGCUUUAUCAGGAUUAAAGUGCCUGUUUUAUCCUCAGGGAAAUCUGCAUUCUGCGACUUCCUUGAUUUCUUCUUCCCAGGAGUCGGUGCACCUAACAAAAAGCUCCUCAAAUAACUCCUUUUACAUUAAUACUCAGGGCUGACAUGGAAAUUUGGCUACACACUUAAUUGUGUCAUCUAUUCCUGACCAAAGCUAUAGUUUGCCUUGGUCCAAGUGCACACAGAAACACACUUGACAAUAUAGGGACAAGUUAAUUCAUCUGUGUUUCGAUAAAAAAAAAAUCAUCUGUGUUUCUCGCCAAGCCAGUCGCCAGAGGUGACCAGGAAGGUGCCAGAGCUGCUGAUGGGCUCUAAUAUCAAUAUGUCUCGUACAGUCGCACUCCCCUAGCUUGUCAGGUCGUUUGGCCUUAAUUAGGGGCAAAUUUAGAUUGUUACCUUUUGGGUUGGUAUCUUCCCUAAUUUCUCGUGCUGGACGAGGUAAUACAAGCAACCAAGCAGGUAUCCUGCGUUCUCAACCGUUAGAUCUACAUCCUUUGGACGGCUAUAGCAGAUUCCAAGCACAGUAGAAAAGCGAAAACAACCUUAUGUAUUCUUGAGUAUAUUAAUAUUGUUUUGCUAGCUCGUCAAUUUCAGUUAAAAAUGUCUGAACAAAUACUU